GAUGAACGCUGGCGGCGUGCCUAAUACAUGCAAGUCGAGCGAACGGACGAGAAGCUUGCUUCUCUGAUGUUAGCGGCGGACGGGUGAGUAACACGUGGAUAACCUACCUAUAAGACUGGGAUAACUUCGGGAAACCGUAGCUAAUACCGGAUAAUAUUUUGAACCGCAUUGUUCAAAAGUGAAAGACGGUCUUGCUGGCACUUAUCGAUGGAUCCGCGCUGCAUUAUCUGGUUGGUAAGGUAACGGCUUAUCAAGGGAACGAUGCAUAACCGACCUGCGAGGGGGAUCGGCCACCCUGGAACGUGGACAGGGACAAGGCGCCUACGGGAGGCAGCAGUAGGGAAUCUGCCGCAAUGGGCGAAAGCCUGACGGAGCAACGCCGCGUGAGUGAUGGAGGUCUUCGGAUCGUAAAAAUCUGUUAUUAGGGAAGAACAUAUGCGGAAGUAACUGUGCACAUCGUGACGGUACCUAAUCAGAAAGCCACGGCUAACUACGUG
RNAcentral lists this ribosomal RNA (497 nucleotides) under uncultured bacterium. RNAcentral describes it as "partial 16S ribosomal RNA". It matches the Rfam family "Bacterial small subunit ribosomal RNA", at positions 28 to 507 of the family's 1533-position model. The record is from RNAcentral.